UGAAUAAACCACCAAGAACCCAUACAUGACUUUGUUUUCAUUGUAUCAAAGUCAUGUGUCCACCAGUCUGAGCACCAGCAACUCACUUCUUCCUUAGACGUCUCUAAAGCUGGAAAGAUUUUAAGGGACAAUAUGGUUUCUUUCAACCCACCCCAAUGUUAUGAAUGAGAUCAUCAGACCAACAGCAAACACCUAAAAGUAUUUGCUGCUACCUCCUGUUGCCCCAGAAUGACAGCUUCUCUGUGAUCUCUUCAGAGGCAACAGCUGUGUGGUUGAAUUCCUCCCCAUAUCCUAGACAUUGCCCAGCACAGAUAAGGUUCUUUCUGGGACAUCAGAAAGUAUUUUUUGACAAAUUGGCUGGCUAAGAGAAGCAAUAGUGGCCCUGGGUAUUUUCUUCUCAAGACAAAUAUAAGGGAUUUGCUACGAGAGUCUAUAGAAGCAAUGGAGAAGAAGAGAACUGAGGUGACAGUAACAAUCUUAUGGCCAUUCUUUCAGAUGAUAACUUUCAGUGCUUCUGUGAGGUCAGAUGCUUGCCUCUCUUUUCUCACAAAAAGAAACUGAGAAGGGAAGUGGCAGGUCUCCCAGGUCCUACAGCCAAUCAGCAGCGGGGCUGGAACUCCAACCUUGGGAUCCCAAUACCAGACCCUAAACUUCCUGCUCUAGUUCCUCUAAAUCUGGGCAGGAGUUACAGCUCAAACCUGACCUAGAUGCAUUCAGGAUAAGGGGUUUCUCCAUAUGUUACUUCUGACGCUGGGAAUGCUGUCAUGAUCCUGGGUGGUCCGUGGUACUUUCCAGGGUGAGCCCAUUUACCCUGAGAGGAUGUACUACCUCUCCAAGUAACCAUGGAGUCAAAUGUCUAUCUCUGGCCAGCUUCAGGACAACAAAGAUGUUUUAUCAGGCACCACUGAGCUGUACAUUGUGAACAAAUUCACGGGGAAGCAGCAGAUACUAGAGAACCUUCUUGCUCCGCUUCUACCAUCUAUUGCCUGUGAGACAAGAGGAAAUCAGUCAACUUUUCUUCUUUUUGGACCCAUUAUUUCCUGAAACAAAAUGAAAUGCACAGGUAAUUGAGGGUGGCAUAUGGUACUGAUAAGCCAUGUACCUCACAGGCUUUUUGUAAUGCUCUAGUCAUACAAUGAACAACGAAACACUUGUGAGGUGUAAUGGGAUAUUUAAGUGUAAAGCAAUGUUACCAUAAAUCAGUGAGCGAAUAUUAUUCUUGCAGGAAAAUGCAGAUAGGAAAUAAGUAUAAAAUCCAGAAACCAAUUUAAUAUCUGCAGUGCUCAUCUAUGCCAUGAUAGGAAUUAUAAGAGAGUGUAGAGCUGUAGUUUUUGUGAUUUGAAGUUGAGGAACUUUUCAUCUAUUGGUAGUUCAAAGUUUACAUUAACAAUGUCAUAAAUCUGGACCUGUAACUGGCCACCUUUGAAAGUCUAUGGAGAAGAUAUGCAUGAGAAUAAAGGUACCACAGGGGGAAAAACAAAUCACAAAAUGAAACAAGCAAAAACUUUAUCAUGAUUAUGACAUUUGAAUCAAUUUUUUUUUUUGAGAUGGAGUCUCACUCUGUCUCCCAGACUGGAUUUGUGCAGUGGUGUGAUCUUGGCUCAUUGCAACCUUCAUCUCCUGGAUUCAAGCGAUUCUCCUGUCUCAGCCCCCAGAGUAUCCGGGACUACAGGUGCCGGCCACCACCAUGCCUGGCUAAUUUUUGUAUUUUUAGUAGAGACAGGGUUUCACCAUGUUGGCCAGGCUGGUCUUGAACUCCUGACUUGAGGUGAUUGGCCCACCUUGGCCUCCCAAGGUUCUGGGAUUACAAGCAUGAGCCAUUGUGCCCAUCUUGAAUCUGUGGAUUUAGAGAGGCUCUAGACCUCUUCUUCCCUCUGCUUCUUCCAGUAUUAUUAGCCAAUAUAUUGCUUUCACUUUCUGGCACUUACAAAAAGAGGAAAAAAAGAUUUUAACUAAUACGUUUCUUUGUUUUUCUUUUUAAUCCCCAUAACAUUCUGUACCAGGAGAGGAAAUGCCAGUUUCUUACUUAGAUGAAUAGAAGAUUGUUGACUGGGUAUAUGGAAAUUAAAGAUAUAAGCAUAUACAGACAAGGACUGGUGGUAAGGUCAGAACAACAGAAUUUGAGAGCUAUGCGGGCCUUGGGAUUAUCUAGUCUACCUCCUCAUUUGUACAGAGUAUGAAACAGGUCCAGAGAGGGGAAAGGUCCUAUAGGAGUCAGGUCUUAAAUCAGUAUGUCUGACUCCCAAGCCACACUGCUUCUGCUCCUUCUCCUUCUUUUGUCCCCCCUGCCUUUUUUUUUGUAAAGGAAAUAAAAUGUUAGAGAUAUACUUUUAGUUCUUAUUUUAUUCCAACCCCAUUUUUCCUUUUGUCACUGAACUGUAGUUGAUACAAGUUUAUUUUUUCACUAUAUGUUUAUCCCCAAAAUAUAUCUGGUUUUCAUAUUUUAAACUUUUACCCAUAUAGUGUACUAUGCCAGUAUUUCUGUAUCCCACUUUUUUCGCUCUAUUUUUGUUACCUUUUCAUAUGGAUAUAUAAAAUGCCAUUUUGUGGCUAUACCACAAUGUAUAUAUUCCCAAAGAAUGAAUAUUUAGAUAAUUGUCAGUUUGAGGUGUUUUUUUUUUCAGUACUUGUUUCUAAAAUAUUUUUACACAUUUUUCCUUUUGCACAUGAGUUUCUGUUGUGUAUAUGCCUAGAAUUGCUGGGUCGUAGGGUAGGUACAUUUUUUAUUUUACUAGAGAAUUCCAGACUUCUCUUCAGAAUAGUGACAUUGGUGUGUCAGAUGGAACCAGAAUCUGCUCCAAGUACAUCACAAGGUUUAGUGAGGAUCCAAGCAAAAUGAGUGUGAAAACACUUUUGAAGUUGUUGACAAUGCGGUGCCAUGAAUCGUGAGGAGGCAAUUUUAAGUCAGUGUGUGGACAACAAUGAUCAUAGGUAGACACUGGAUAAAUGACCAACUCUUAAUGAAGUCUUAAUUUUAUCUACCUUAGGGUCAUGUCCAGAGAAUCAGCAAAAACGAUUACAUUUAAAUAUGUCUUCAUGUUUUGUGAGGGCUUUAGAUCUGAUGUAAACAUAUAAGAAAAAAAUCAUGUUUAAUAUAGCCAGAAGAUAUAUAAUAACAUCAGUUUCUGGGCAGAAAGUCAGCCCUAUACAAAUUCUAAAUGCCAGUUACAAACUAGACAGGUUUUAACAUGGUUUAGAAUGCCUUCACAGGGAACUAGCACUGUACCUUUGUCUCUGAGAAAAAUAGACAAAUGAGUCAGUUAUGUGUUUACUGUUUAAUUCAUAUUCAAUUAUAUUUUGCAGCUUAAAAGGCCACUAAUUAAAAAAAACAACAAAAUAAAUCUCACUUGGAAUAUUGGGGGUUUUUUUUGGCUGGUUCAUUAUUUUAGUGUACUUUUCUUUGAACUGUGUUUUGGUUUCUGGGUUAAGAUGGUGAUGCUUCAUCCACUUUUAUUCUCCCACUGAAUAAUUCAUGAUGGACUGGAGAAUCUCAAUGAUUGGUUCACCAUACUCUGGCAGAAAUUCCUACUGACUGCCAUACCUUGAGUAAGAAACUCUUGGUAACCAAUGCAGACUCAGACCUCUUGAAAAAUGAAAAGCAGGGCCAAGCUGGAUAAAAGCCAGAAUUACUGUUUGCCAAAUUACACUGUUGGGUUUUGUGGAACAGUUAGGACUCUCAUAUACCUAAAGAUAGUGAAAAGAUAUAUAGAGGUUACUGAGGUUGGAAAUAUAUGUUGAGUUUAAUCUAAUAUUGUAAUCGACAAUGGCCUUUCAAUGAAGAUUUAAGGAAUUUGGAAUCUAUUCUGCAGGCAGAAGGGAAAGUAUUGAUGAUUUUGAGCAGUGACAAUAGGAUCAGAUGCAUGUUUUAAAGGUCUAGAAGUGUAAAGAGUAUAUGUAUAUUAGGGCUGGAGUGGCAGGAGGCUGGGAGACAAACUUAUUGCAAGGCUCCACGUAAAAUCAUAUGGACUUCACUGAAUCUUAUCCUCAGGUAAAUACUAAUAAUUAAAAGGGUUUCACCAUUUAUAGAGCUUUCAGAUUUAUCCUUAAUAUUAUUAUCCUCACAUCUGCUGAAGAGCAAGCCUCUCAUCAUCUUCUGCUCCAGUCUUGUGAUGGUAGCAUGUACCUGCUUCUGGUGGUGAUAAACCCUGGGCAAUCAUCUCUGCUAGGAACAGCUGUUCUUCAUGGUGACUGCUGUGAAACCAACAGGAUGGCCUCUUUUCUAUUUAGUCCUAAGAGUGGGCAUAAGGUAAAACAUUGUUGGAUACUUCCUUUGGAGUUCUAGACUCAGGGUGAGAUUACAGAAGAUAUGCUCAACAUGCUCCUUUGACCUGGUCCCAGUUUCACCAUAUUUGAUAGAUGCUUUACAGUCUCUGUUUAGAGUCUUGCCUAUCCAGAGCCUAUCUCAACAGUUCGGGACACAAGGAAGAAAGCAAGAUAUAAAUAACCAUGGAAGCAAAUUCAACCACCACUUGUUUUUAUAAAGUUUGUUGAAACACAGCCAUGAUAAUUUGCUUGCAUACUAUCUAUAGCUACAUUUGCUAAAAAAAAAAAAAAAAAACCAGAGUAGUUGGCUGGGUGUGGUGGCUUACACCUGUAAUCCCAGUACUUUGAAAGGCCAAGACAAGAACAUCACUUGAGCCUUGGAGUUCUAGACUAGCCUGGGCAACAUGGCAAAACCCCCCAUCACUAUUAAAAUAUCUUUAAAAUUAGCCAGGCAUGGUGGCACACACUUGUGUUCCCAGCUACUCAGGAGGCUGAGGGGGGAAGAUCACCUGAGCUUAGGGAAGUCAAGGCUGCAGUAAGCCAAGAUUGUGCUACUGCACUCCAGCCUGGGUGACAGAGACCCUGUCUCAGAAAUAAAAAGGAAAAAAAAAAGAGAGAAAGCAAUGUGUGAAUUCAAAUUUUCUAGGUAAGACUAAACCCCAGAAGGUCUCUGACCUAUAGGACACUCUUAAAAUGCUUCCCUCUUGAAUAAAAAAUACUGUUUCAGCCUGGCAACUAAAAGCCUUCAUUACCUGGGUCCUUUUCCUUUUCCAACUCAAAGCAAGACUCAGUUGUGAUUACAACCAUAUGGAUUGCAAAGUCUAAAAUAUUUACUGUUUGACCUCUCACAUUAGAAAGCUUACUAAAUUCCUGGAACAAUCUAUGGUGAACACAGCUCCACAGGAGGAACACCCUGGCUACUUCCCCAGAUUGAGGAUUGCGUGAGAGGCAGAGUCAUAAUUCCUCCCUACUUGGAACAUCAACAUUCCUACAGAUGCUAAGAGGUGCAUGUCUGACCUGAAUAGCCAAAACCCUGAGACAGCAAUAAGCCUGUGAGGGGAACAGCUUUCCUGCUCACCAGGCAGGGGAGCUGGGAUAGCUCACACUUUUUACCCUGGUAAAACCUCAGCACACCUAAUUGAGAGCUCCCCCAGCCACCCUCAUCAAGGCUGGGACCUUGUUCCACUUCUGGAUAUUACAUCUACCCACCUGCCUUAGCUACAGGGAUAUUUUUCCUAUUGGCCUGAAGCCUGAAUCAUCAACUCAGUAAAUAAAAUACCAGUAAAUAGGUAAAAUGUACAUCACAAGAGAAUGAGAUAAGCUUCAAGAGAUCCCUGCCAUUUCAGCCCGACAAAAGACAGUGAACUUGCCACACAUCAAGAACAGAACCACUACAGCCAGCAUCUGGAAAUAGCCAGUGUACAAAGACUCUCUAUAACUAAGGAAAUCAUAAAGAGCCUUCACCACUAAAAGCACCAAAAAUCAAAUUAAGCUAAAAUAAACAUUAAAGUCUGAAGCCUAAGAGGGAAAAAAAGAAAUUAAAAAGAAAAAACAGAGUCCAAUCAAAAAUUCAAGAGCAAUUUGAAGAAAUAGUAUAUCCAACUGAGAAGGAAUUUGCAAAAGUAAUUCUGGUAAUAUAACACAACAGGGUUGCAUGACAUGCUCAGAAGAUCACACUAGCUCCUCAGCAAUGGAUCUAACCCAAUAAGAAAUCCCUGAAUCACCAGAUAAAUAAUUCAGAAAGAAUUCAAAGAGAUACAAGAGAAACAUGAAAAUGAAUUUAAAGAAAUUUUAAAAACAAUUCAGGACAUGGAUAAAGAAUUUUUCAGUGAGUUUUCAAUAAGAUAGAGUGGCUCACCCCUAUAUUCCCAGCACUUUGGGAGGCCAAGGUGGGUGGAUCACCUGAGGUCAGGAGUUCAAGACCAACAUGGAGAAACCCUGUCUCUACUAAACAUACAAAAUUAGCUGGGCAUGGUGGUCCAUGCUUAUAAUCCCAGCUAUUUGGGAGGCUGAGGCAGGACAAUUGCUUGAACCCUGGAGGCAGAGGUUGUGGUGGGCUGAGAUUGCACCAUUCCACUGUAGCCUGGUAAACAAGACCAAAACUCUGUCUCGAACAAACAAAAAAAAAAGGAAGAAAGAAAGAAAGAAAAAGAAUUUUCCAGAGAAAUAGAUUCCAUAAGGAAAUCACAAUCAGAACUUCUGGAAAUAAAAGACACAUUUAGGAAAACACAAAAUACACUGGAAAGUGUCAAGGAAAGACUAGAACAAAUAGAAGAAAGAAUUUCAGAGCUGGAAGACAAGGCUUUCAAUUUUUUUUUUUUUUUUUUUUGAGACAGAGUUUCGCUGUUGUUACCCAGACUGGAGUGCAAUGGCACAAUCUCAGCUCACCGCAACCACCGCCUUCUGGGUUCAAGCAAUUCUCCUGCCUCAGCCUCCUGAAUAGCUGGGACUACAGGCUGCGCCACCAUGCCCAGCUAAUUUUUGUAUUUUUAGUAGAGACAGGGUUUCACCUUGUUGACCAGGAUGGUCUCGAUCUCGUGAUCCACCCGCCUCGGCCUCCCAAAGUGCUGGGAUUAGAGGCAUGAGCCACCGCGCCCUGCCAAGGCUUUCAAAUUAACUAAAUCAAACAAGACACAGAAAAAAUAGUUUUUAAAAAAUGAACAAAGUCUUUAAGAAAUAUGAGAUUAUAUAAAAUGGCCAAACCUAAGAAUAAUUAGUAUUCCUGAGGAAGAAGAGAAAUCUAAAAGUUUGGAAAACUUACUUGAGGGAAUAAUUGAGAAAAACUGCCCUGGCCUUGCUAGAGAUCUAGACAUCCAAAUACAUGAAGCUCACGAAACUCCUGGGAAAUUCAUCACAAAAAUAUUAUUGCCAAGGCACAUAGUCAUCAGGUUAUUUAAAGUCAAGAGGCAGGACAGAAUCUUAAGAGUUGUGAGACAAAAGCAUCAGGCAACCUAUAAAGGAAAACCUAUCAGAUUAACAGAAGAUUUCUCAGCAGAAACCUUAAAAAACAAAGGAUUGGGGUACUAUCUUUAUGCUCCUUAAAUAAAACAAUUGUGACAAGUUUUGUAAGCAGCAAAACUAAGCUUCAUAAAACAAAGGAGCGAUAGUCUUUUUCAGACAAAUGCUGAUAGAAUUUUACAAUACCAAAUCAGCACUACAAGAAAUGAUAAAAAAGAUUUAUAAAUCUUUAAGAAAAACAUCAAAAUACACUAAAAUAGAAGCUCCUUAAAGGAUAAAUCUCACAGGGCCUAUAAAACAAUAACACAAUUUUUAAAAAGGUAUUUAGGCAACAACUAACAUCAUAAAUAGAACAGUAACUCAUAUUGUAAUACUAACAUUGAAAAUCGGUGGCCUAAAUUUUAAAAUACAGAAUGGCAGAGUAGAUAAAAAAUGAAAAAAAAAAAAAACAGCAACAAAGUGUCUUCUGUUUUCAGGAGACUCACUUAAACAUAAUGACUUAGACACACCAUAAAGGGUUGGGAAAAGAUAUUUUAUGCAAAGGGAAACCAAAAGUGAGAAAUAGCUAUUCUUAUAUCAGACAAAACAGACUUUAAAGCAACAACAGUAAAAAUAGACAAAGAAAAACAUCACAUAAUGAUAAAAAGAUUAGUCCAGCAAAAAGAUGUUAUAAUCCUAAAUAUAUAUGCAUUCAAUAUUGAAGCUUUUAAAUUUAUAAAACAAUUAUUACUAGGCCUAAGAAAUAAGAUAAACAGCAACACUAUAAUAGUGGGGGAUCUCAGUGCUCCAUUGACAGCACUAGACAGAUCAUCAAAACAGAAAAUCAACAAAGAAGCAAUGGACUUAAGAGAUAUUUAUAGAACAUUCUACCCAGUUGCAGUCUAUACAUUCUUCUCAUCAACACAUGGAACAUUCUCUAAGAUAGACCAUAUUAUAAGACACAAAACGUGUCUCAAUAUAUAUUAAGAAAAUCAAGUAUCUUCUCAGACCACAGUAACUGAAAACAAACACCAAAAGUAACCCUAAAGCUGUACAAAUACAUGGAAAUUAAAUAAUCUGCUCUUGAUUGAUCCUUGGAUCAGCCUGAGACCCAUCACUAGGUGAGAAACUGGUUUAAGAUUCUGUCUUGUUGGCCGAGCGUUGUGGCUCAAGCCUGUAAUCCCAGCAAUUUGGGAGGCCGAGGCGGGUGGAUCACGAGGUUAAGAGAUUGAGACCAUCCUAAUCAACAUGGUGAAACCCCAUCUCUACUAAAAAAACUACAAAAAAUUAGCUGGGCUUGAUGGUGCGUGCCUGUAAUCCCAGCUGCUCAGGAGGCUGAGGCAGGAGAAUUGCCUGAACCGAGGAGGUGGAGGUUGCGGUGAGCCGAGAUUGCGACAUUGCACUCCAGCCUGGGUAACAGGAGCGAAAACUCUGUCUCAAAAAAAAAGAUUCUGUCUUGCAAAUCCCUUUUAAAGGACUAAAGUUAGCAUUUAACAACCAGCUGGUGUUAAUUUCUGCUUACACUUAGAGCACUCAGAGAUCUUAUAAUUUGUCUGAUCAUUGCUCAUUUAGCAGCGUUUUCUCCUAGUUAAAAUAUGGUAAUAAGAUUUUUAAAAAUUGUUUUUAAAGGAACUCAAUGGUUAAAAAGUCAGCUUAACUAAAAGGCUAAUAUCCAAAAUGUGUGUGUGUGUGUAUGUGUGCAUGUGUGCAUAUUUGUAUUUGAAAGGCCUUUAUGUUUUGGGUUUUUUUGUUUGUUUCUUUGUUUUUUUCUCCUAAGACCUUGUCUUUUUUUGAGCAUACUUUUUUUUUUUAUUCUCAGUUGACUGAAUUUUGUUUUCACUUGAUUUUUUUUUUUUUUUUUGAGAUAGAGUCUUACCGUGUCACCCAGGCUGGAGUGCAGUGGCAUGAUCUUGGCUGACUACAACCUCUGCCUCCUAGAUUCAAGUAAUUCUCUGCCUCAGCCUCCCAAGUACCUGAAAUUACAAGAGCCCACCACCACACCUGGCUAAUUAUUGUAUUUUUAAUAGUGAUGAGAUUUCACCAUCCUGGCCAGGCUGGUCUUGAACUCCUGACCUCAUGAUCCACCAAUCUCAGCCUCCCAAAGUGCUGGGCUUGCAGUCAUGAGUCACUGCACCUGGGCUGCUAGUUUUAAAAUUGGUAAAGUAAUAUUAGAAAUAUGUUAAGAAUUGUCCAGCACUGGGAAAUGUGGCACAUAUACACCAUGGAAUAUUAUGCAGCAAUAAAAAAUGAUGAGUUUGUGUCCUUUGUAGGGACAUGGAUGAAUCUAGAGAACAUCAUUCUCAGCAAACUGACACAAGAACAGAAAAUGAAAUACCGCAUAUUCUCACUCAUAGGCGGGUGAUGAAAAAUGAGAACACGUGGACACAGGGAGGGGAGUACUACACACUGGGGUCUAUUGAGGGGAAUAGGGGAGGGACAGCGGGGGUGGGGGGGAGCUGGGGAGGGAUCGCCUGGGGAGAAAUGCCAAAUGUGUGUGAAGGGGAGGAAGGCAGCAGAACACACUGCCAUGUGUGUACCUAUGCAACAUCUUGCAUGUUCUGCACAUGUACCCCAAAACCUAAAAUGCAAUAAAAAAAAAUAAAAAAUAAAGAAUUGUCCAGCAUACAUUUUUGUUUGUAUUUAUUAAUCAAGCAGUUUCAUACUUACCCCUGCCAAAUACGGUAAGGUGUCAAAAUUUUGGCAUAGGGGUUACAAAACUAUACACCACCCCAAAACAGAAUAUUUGCUUGUGCAAUUUUUAAUAAAUCAGACAUUGAUAUGGGUUUAAUAAAAAUACCUGCAUCUUAAAUUUAGUAAAAUUGCGAUAACUUUUAAUCCUAUGGCUUUAGGCAUUCUGAUUCACUGACAAUAAGGAAGUUUGUUUUGGGAAAGGACUGUUAUUGUCAUUGUUUCAAAACUGUACUAUAAAUUGUGUUUCUCCCUAAGUUUGUUCAGCCUAUGCUGAGGAAUAAACUAAGACAACUUGGAAUUAAGAGCAGUAUGGAGUCAGUUACAUCAAAUCUUUUUUCACUGUCUCAGUUAUAAUUUUGCUAUGGUGGUUUCAUAACUUUAAAUCAUGACUAUUACAGUUUUCUUAAAUAAUCCACAUAAACAGUUAAAAUAAAAUCAGUAAAUGUAAUUGGAUAAAUACUUGUAGACAAACUGGUCAUAAUUUAGAAUAUAAAGCUAUAUUAAAUUAAAUAAUAGAUAUUUUAUUAUUUGGGUAUUUUUCAAUAAAUAUAUAUUGUAGGAAAACAUUCUUGCUAUAGAAAACAGAGUAUGUCCUUCAAAAAAAAAAAGAACAAAUUUUAUGUAAUUCAAAGCUUAUUUAAAGGUUAUGUCUAAAACAAAUUAAAAGAAACUAGGUAUAAAAAAGGAUGUAAAGAGGGAUUCCAUGUUUGGGUCCCCUUCCACAAACACUCCCUUCGUGGAAGCCAUCUUUCUCUCUCCUGGAUUUCCCCUCUGGAGUCCCCUUCCACACUCUCUCGUGGAAGCCUGUUUUCCCCUCCUAAACUCCAUCUCUCUCUCUCUCUCUCUCUCUCUCUCUAUUCCCUUCCCCUCAGUGUGGAAGCUGCUUUUCUCUCCUGGAUUCCAUCUUUCUGGAUUCUCUCUUUAAAAUAAAAAUAAUAAAAAAAGAUGUAAAGAAAGUUAUAAAAGUAAAGAAGUAUAUUUUUGAGGUUAAAAAGCUUAAAGAGAAAUAAUUUUAUAUAAGAAAUAAUCUUAUAGGGUAACAUUAGUCAUAAAGUAAAAUAACUGCUUUUUUAAAAAGGAGGGAUGUUGGGAACUAAUCAGAAAGUCUGACCAUGUCAUGAACAGUCAGUGUAAGUCACAAUAAGAGGACUUAUAAAUAUUUACCAAAAAAACCCCAAAACUUUUAUAUAAUCAAGUUUUCAUACUAUUAUUAAGUUUUGGUUUACUUAGGGAAAAAAAGAAUGUUUUUUAAUGAAGGUUAUUAUAUUCAUGUUCUGUAUCUGCUUUUAAAGUCCUUGUAAUGGCUGAGUGCCGUGGUUCACACCUGUAAUCCCAGCACUUUGGGAGGCCAAGACAGGCAGAUCAUGAGAUCAGGAGCCCAGCCUGGCCAGCAUGGUGAAACCCCGUCUCUAUAAAAAAUACAAAAAUUAGCCAGGCAUGAUGGUGCACACCUGUAGUCCCAGCUACUUGAGAGGUUCAGGCAGGAAAAUUGCUUGAACCCAGCACGCAGAGGUUGCAGUGAGCCGGGUUUGCACCACUGCACUCCAGCCUGGGCAACAAAGCGAAACUCAGUCACAAAAAAAAAAAAAAAAAGUCCUUGUAACAUUGAGUUACAGGGCGUAAGUUCCUGGGUUAAAGAAACCAAAUGCUGCUAAAUCUCAAACACUGACAGCAAUUAAAGCCUCAUCUUCAGGCCCCUUGGAAGACGCCAAUAAAAACAAACUACGUUCCUGAGAUACAGGGCAAGAAAUUAAAGCUAUUCAACUCCUCAAGUCCCAGAGACCAUAGCAGAAGAGAUGGACCCAUAAGAUUGUAAGGGCCGAUUUUGAAAGAUAAAAUGAGUUUAGUUUCUCUAUAAAUUAAUGUCAAAGGCACACUGAUGUAAAACCAGUAUAUGGACCCCUGUGUCAGAUUAACAAGGUUUUCUUGAAUCAUUAACCAACUUCCUAAUAAAGGUUAUAAAAGGCUAAUGGAAGUUAUAUUUUAUAAUCAAGAUGAAAUUUUAUAGAUUACAAAAUUUUGAAAAACAAAUGUAAUUGGCUUCAUGCUGUUUUCUUUUUUCUUUCUAUAUAUUUUUUUUCUUUUGAGACAGAGUUUUGCUCUUUUGCCAGGCUGGAGUGCAGUGGCAUGAUCUUGGCUCACUGCAACCUCUGUCUCCUGGAUUCAAGCAAUUCCCCUGCCUCAGCCUCCUGAGUAGCUGGGACUACAGGUGCAUGCCACAACGCCUGGCUAAUUUUUUGUAUUUUAGUAGAGACGGUGUUUCACCAUGGCCAGGAUGGUCUCGAUCUCCUGACCUCAUGAUCUGCCCUCCUCUGCCUCCCAAAGUGCUGUGAUUACAGGCGUGAGCCACCGCACCUGGCCUUCAUGCUGUUUUCAGUAGGGCUUCUAGUUUAGAAAACUAAGUCUCCUCUCUCAAAGACUGAAGGAUUUUUGAAAUGCUUGAAUUAUCACUUUGGGUAAAUAAAUGUCUUUUCAAUGACUUGUAAUUCCAUUGUUUAAUAUCAAGUGAUUUAAACCUUUUAUAUUUGACAGACUUUCCAAAAUCAAAUUUUAUAUUAUGUCUUUUUCUAACCUAAUUAAUCCUUCAAGACAUUAGGUUUCCUAAAGUCUAAAAAUGAAAUAAAUAAUUUGACUUAUUUUGAUAUAAAAAUUAUUCAGGAAGCUUUGUGAAAUAUGAAAUGGUAUUUGCUUUUCUUUGGGCUGUAUUUGUAUAAAAAUGUUACAGGUACGUGUUCCAAAAUUAUGGGAAAUUCCUGUAAUGCUGAUAUAACUUAGUGUACAUUAUCAGUAAUAAUCAUAAUUGUUACAUUAAAAUCAUUGUGUGCCAUAGAGUUAAGAAA
This is a non-coding RNA of Callithrix jacchus (white-tufted-ear marmoset), 12731 nucleotides long. The record is from RefSeq and is a predicted model, not a curated record. Lineage: Eukaryota; Metazoa; Chordata; Mammalia; Primates; Cebidae.